Molecule: long non-coding RNA, 990 nt
Filed under: Monodelphis domestica (gray short-tailed opossum)
Lineage: Eukaryota; Metazoa; Chordata; Mammalia; Didelphimorphia; Didelphidae
Description: lncRNA (ENSMODG00000049596.1)
Source: RNAcentral
UGUAUAGGCCUGGAUUAGGACUGGAAGAAUUUAGCCCUUUGCUGCUAGGAAAGACUACUUACCACCUACACUCCAGCAGAAGGUAGCAAAUAACAGCAGGAAAUCCAACUAGGCUGCAAAGCUGAAGACCAGCAAAAUCUUCAUAGAGAUGCCCAGCAGUUGAGUCCAGUAACAAAAGCAGUCUGCAGUGCACAUGGCCAGCAGCAGAGAUUUAUAACAGAGUAGCAAAUGUCCCAAAUUCAGUAGGAAAAAACAGCUUUCCAGGCAUUACCAGAACAUUGGCUCUACAGAAUUGGAAGUAUGGAUUGGUCCUGUCUACAUGUAGGGAGCACCCCACUUCUGGUCAUACCUGUUCUCUGUUUCUUCUAGGACAAUAGCAAGAAUCGCCCUUACUGAGCAGCAGGUGGACACAUCUGUGAGCCAAAAUACCCUGCUUCAUGGGGAAACCUUGUUUGUCGUUUCUACCACUGAUACUGAUGACAUAACCCUUCCACUCUUCACCCAGAGCAUCAUUAGAAACUUCAGUGGCCAUCUGUAUCUCAAAAAAGGAUCACUUGAGUACAAAGCAGCCAUCAAGAGCUCCAGUGCCUCUUUUAUAUUUGGCACGUGGAAAAUGAUGAGAGACUCAGGGAAGGAAAGCAUUCAGUUGACUCAACUUGAGGUACCCUCAGUUUCCCUCUGUUAAACAUUCUUCUCUUGCUAUAGCUAAGUAAAUUUCCUUUCAAUAUAUAUUGAAUGACCUAUGAAUUUCUCAUUUUGUUUCAAUACUGACACCAAGCUACCAGAAGACUAGCUUGAGGAAGUCAAGAACAAGGAGACUGGACUACAUGAAUUCUGAGUUCCCUGCUAGUAUGAAAGCUAUGAAACCUUCUAGCUCUAAAUCUAUGAUCCUGUGAUAUACCAUUUGGGGAAGGUCAUGGAAUUUAAUCUUAAUCUCUCGUUUGCAAAUGAGAAAGCCAGAGCCCAAAGAGGUAAAAGUGAUUUACCAUG